CCUACGGGGGGCAGCAGUGAGGAAUAUUGGUCAAUGGGCUUACGCCUGAACCAGCCAAGUCGCGUGAGGGAAGACUGCCCUAUGGGUUGUAAACCUCUUUUGUCAGGGAGCAACGCCGGCUACGUGUAGCCGGACUGAGAGUACCUGAAGAAAAAGCAUCGGCUAACUCCGUGCCAGCAGCCGCGGUAAUACGGAGGAUGCGAGCGUUAUCCGGAUUUAUUGGGUGUAAAGAGUUCGUAGGCGGCAUGUAAAGUCAGGUGUUAAAGGCGCAGGCUCAACCUGUGUAUGGCACUUGAUACUUGCAAGCUGGAAUGCGGUAGAGGUAGAGGGAAUUCUUGGGUUAGCGGUGAAAGG
RNAcentral lists this ribosomal RNA (354 nucleotides) under uncultured bacterium. RNAcentral's name for it is "partial 16S ribosomal RNA". It matches the Rfam family "Bacterial small subunit ribosomal RNA", at positions 338 to 688 of the family's 1533-position model. The record is from RNAcentral.